AGAGUUUGAUCCUGGCUCAGAUUGAACGCUGGCGGCAUGCCUAACACAUGCAAGUCGAACGGCAGCAUGAGUAGGGGUAACCUUACUUGAUGGCGAGUGGCGGACGGGUGAGUAAUAUGUAGGAAUCUGCCUAGAGGAAGGGGAUAACUUGGGGAAACCCAAGCUAAUACCAUAUAAUCCCUACGGGGGAAAGCAGGGGCUCGCAAGACCUUGCGCCUUAUGAUGAGCCUACAUCGGAUUAGCUAGUUGGUGGGGUAAAGGCCUACCAAGGCGACGAUCCGUAGCUGGUCUGAGAGGAUGACCAGCCACACUGGGACUGAGACACGGCCCAGACUCCUACGGGAGGCAGCAGUGGGGAAUAUUGGACAAUGGGCGCAAGCCUGAUCCAGCAAUGCCGCGUGUGUGAAGAAGGCCUUAGGGUUGUAAAGCACUUUCAGUGGGGAGGAAGGGUUUAAUGCUAAUACCAUUAAACAUUGACGUUACCCACAGAAGAAGCACCGGCUAACCCUGUGCCAGCAGCCGCGGUAAUACAGAGGGUGCGAGCGUUAAUCGGAAUUACUGGGCGUAAGGCGUGUGUAGGUGGUUAGAUAAGUUAGAUGUGAAAUCCCCGGGCUUAACCUGGGCACUGCGUUUAAGACUGUUUAGCUAGAGUACUGUAGAGGAUAGUGGAAUUUCCAGUGUAGCGGUGAAAUGCGUAGAUAUUGGAAGGAACACCAGUGGCGAAGGCGACUAUCUGGACAGAUACUGACACUGAGACACGAAAGCGUGGGGAGCAAACAGGAUUAGAUACCCUAGUAGUCC
Molecule: ribosomal RNA, 801 nt
Filed under: uncultured bacterium
Lineage: Bacteria
Description: bacterial SSU rRNA
Rfam family: Bacterial small subunit ribosomal RNA
Source: RNAcentral